This 429-nucleotide ribosomal RNA is filed under the name Bacillota bacterium. RNAcentral's name for it is "Firmicutes bacterium partial 16S ribosomal RNA". It matches the Rfam family "Bacterial small subunit ribosomal RNA", at positions 355 to 776 of the family's 1533-position model. The record is from RNAcentral. Lineage: Bacteria; Bacillati; Bacillota.
UAGGGAAUCUUCGGCAAUGGACGGAAGUCUGACCGAGCAACGCCGCGUGAGUGAAGAAGGUUUUCGGAUCGUAAAGCUCUGUUGUUAGAGAAGAACGUUGGUAGGAGUGGAAAAUCUACCAAGUGACGGUAACUAACCAGAAAGGGACGGCUAACUACGUGCCAGCAGCCGCGGUAAUACGUAGGUCCCGAGCGUUGUCCGGAUUUAUUGGGCGUAAAGCGAGCGCAGGCGGUUCUUUAAGUCUGAAGUUAAAGGCAGUGGCUUAACCAUUGUACGCUUUGGAAACUGGAGGAAUUGAGUGCAGAAGGGGGGAGUGGAAUUCCAUGUGUAGCGGUGAAAUGCGUAGAUAUAUGGAGGAACACCGGUGGCGAAAGCGGCUCUCUGGUCUGUAACUGACGCUGAGGCUCGAAAGCGUGGGGAGCAAACAGG